Molecule: long non-coding RNA, 248 nt
Filed under: Lathyrus oleraceus (garden pea)
Lineage: Eukaryota; Viridiplantae; Streptophyta; Magnoliopsida; Fabales; Fabaceae
Description: Pisum sativum (pea) long non-coding RNA (PSAT_LNC020598)
Source: RNAcentral
ACAGGGAACUCAAAAUUGGGAGAUGGUGUUGGAUCAUUAUGUUCAAUGGGUCUAGAAAUCAACCUGCAUAAUGAUUUUGGAUAUGAAAAGCUUUAGAAUUCAAACAAGGAACAUCAUUAUGCAGAUGAAAAGGUUGAUUUUAUUCUUUUUUAGGGUUUUAUGUGAUCACCAAUUUCAUGCAAAAAGCAAAAAGGGAAAAUAAUUUGGAAAAACAAACAUUUAACAUGAAUUUAUUGAAUGAAAAUAUC